Molecule: ribosomal RNA, 229 nt
Filed under: uncultured soil bacterium
Lineage: Bacteria
Description: partial 16S ribosomal RNA
Rfam family: Bacterial small subunit ribosomal RNA
Source: RNAcentral
AGAUUGAACGCUGGCGGCAUGCUUUACACAUGCAAGUCGAACGGCAGCACGGGGGCAACCCUGGUGGCGAGUGGCGAACGGGUGAGUAAUGCAUCGGAACGUAUCCUUAAGUGGGGGAUAACGCAUCGAAAGAUGCGCUAAUACCGCAUAAUCUCUGAGGAGAAAAGCAGGGGAUCGCAAGACCUUGCGCUUUUGGAGCGGCCGAUGUCUGAUUAGCUAGUUGGUGAGG